CGACCUGAGCUCAAGCAAGACCACCCGCUGAACUUAAGCAUAUCAAUAAGCGGAGGAAAAGAAACUAACAAGGAUGCCCUUAGUAACGGCGAGCGAACCGGGCAAAGCCCAACUUGAAAAUCUCCCUCUGGAGAAUUGUAGUCUAUAGAAGUGCCCUCUGUAGCGGGCGGACGUUAAGUUUCCUGGAAAGGAACGUCAGAGAGGGUGACAACCCGUCGGCUCCUGCUUUGCUGCUCCACGAGGUGCUUUCCAAGAGUCGGGUUGUUUGAGAAUCAGCCCAAAAUUGGUGGUAAAUCCCAUCUUAAGGCUAAAUACCGAGG
RNAcentral lists this ribosomal RNA (320 nucleotides) under Spermatozopsis similis. RNAcentral describes it as "eukaryotic LSU rRNA". It matches the Rfam family "Eukaryotic large subunit ribosomal RNA", at positions 1 to 328 of the family's 3401-position model. Lineage: Eukaryota; Viridiplantae; Chlorophyta; Chlorophyceae; Chlamydomonadales; Dunaliellaceae. The record is from RNAcentral.